GGCUAUCGCUUACAGAUGGGCCCGCGGUGCAUUAGCUAGUUGGCAGGGUAAUGGCCUACCAAGGCAACGAUGCAUAGCCGACCCGCGAGGGUGAUCGGUCACACUGGGACUGAGACACGGCCCAGCCCCCUACGGGAGGCAGCAGUAGGGAAUCUUCCGCAAUGGACGAAAGUCUGACGGAGCAACGCCGCGUGGAUGAAGAAGGUUUUCGGAUCGUAAAGUACUGUUGUUAGAGAAGAACAAGGAUAAGAGUAA
This 255-nucleotide ribosomal RNA is filed under the name Listeria monocytogenes. RNAcentral describes it as "partial 16S ribosomal RNA". It matches the Rfam family "Bacterial small subunit ribosomal RNA", at positions 210 to 464 of the family's 1533-position model. Lineage: Bacteria; Bacillati; Bacillota; Bacilli; Caryophanales; Listeriaceae. The record is from RNAcentral.